Long non-coding RNA from Leucoraja erinaceus (little skate), 424 nucleotides. RefSeq lists it as uncharacterized. Lineage: Eukaryota; Metazoa; Chordata; Chondrichthyes; Rajiformes; Rajidae. The record is from RefSeq and is a predicted model, not a curated record. The transcript has 3 exons.
CCUUUGGACAAGGAGAACAUUUCCCAGCAGAAGUACAUUUUGGAGCUGGCAGAUGCAUUGCUAUAUCGUCAUGCAAAGAAGGUCAUUCAUCGGGACAUUAAACCAGAGAAUCUGAUGAGCGGCCUUCAUGGGGAGCUGCAGAUAGGUGACUUUGGAUGGUCUGUCCAUUCUCCCUCAUCCAGCUUCCUUCUAAUCCCUUGCGAUCUUGUUUUCCAAAGACUGUUCUUCCCACUUGUGAAAUGGUGAGUAUGGCCACUUCAGUCCCAUUACUGAUUGAGUCGUAUGUAGCGGCACCCAGUGGUUAAGCUAUGUUAUGCAGAACCCUCGGGACUGUCAAGUGACAGGGUUUUUUCAUCGGGUUUCGAGUUAGGAGGUGUUUUCAGUUAGCUAGUGCUCUUUGCAAUGACAACAACUUCAAACCGUU